UUAGCAACUCUGGGCCCUAGUUCAACUGACUUGUAAUCAGUAGGUCGCCAGUUCGACUCCGGCAGUCGGCACCA
RNAcentral lists this transfer RNA (74 nucleotides) under Thalassotalea eurytherma. RNAcentral describes it as "tRNA-Thr". It matches the Rfam family "tRNA". From Rfam's summary of the family: Transfer RNA (tRNA) molecules are approximately 80 nucleotides in length. Their secondary structure includes four short double-helical elements and three loops (D, anti-codon, and T loops). Further hydrogen bonds mediate the characteristic L-shaped molecular structure. tRNAs have two regions of fundamental functional importance: the anti-codon, which is responsible for specific mRNA codon recognition, and the 3' end, to which the tRNAs corresponding amino acid is attached (by aminoacyl-tRNA synthetases). tRNAs cope with the degeneracy of the genetic code in two manners: having more than one tRNA (with a specific anti-codon) for a particular amino acid; and 'wobble' base-pairing, i.e. permitting non-standard base-pairing at the 3rd anti-codon position. The record is from RNAcentral. Lineage: Bacteria; Pseudomonadati; Pseudomonadota; Gammaproteobacteria; Alteromonadales; Colwelliaceae.